UUUGUCGCAGUAGGAUAUUUUUUUUGUACUAUACAGGAAUUUACUGAUAUUUUAAAUUUUUUUUUUUUUUUUAUUAAUGUUAAUAAUAGUACGCAUGAAUUACUUUAUUACUAUGCAUUUUAAUUAUAGACCAUAAUCAACUUUAAGUAAAAAAAAAAAAAACGAAAUCUAUUAUAAUUUGCAAAUAUUGUUAUGCAUGCUGUAAUGCAAUUUAUUUUUAUAUACAACGGGAAGAUUUUCAUUAGGUAUCUUUGGACAUUAGGAAACUAACAAAACGUUGCAGCACAUGUCGCGGGCACUCCUCUCGCUACAAUGUCUCUGUUCUUUUCGAUUAAAUAAUUAAUUAAUUAAUAUUGUGUAUUUUUCACGAAAAGACAAUAAAUACGUUACGACCUUUUACGUCAAAAGAACAUAUGUGUAUAUUGUAAUAUUGUAUACAGCAAAAAGACCUUUAUAUAAAAAAAAUGAAUAUGCAUCACAACGGUCUAAAGAGAUGUUGGUAUAUAGUAUUAUUUUGCUAUAGUCGCUCAUGUUAGUCUUUGUAAAAACUAAAUGUAAAGUUAAAUAAAUCAUAUAGAGUGAUACUUAUACUUUUAUCAUCUAUAAUAUAACAGCUGGUAUGCAUAAAUGAUAUAUCGUGUUAUUUUUUUUUUAUUUUUUUUUUGUAUUGUACGUAUGUUUUAUUACACACAAAAUAAUACAGGCAGAUGAUAUUGCCAUAUUGGUUGACAAAACUCAAAAGGAAAGACUUUUUGAUAUCACAAAAAGGAAUUCUUCGAAAAGUACCUUUUUCUUUAAUUUGUUCCCUGUUUUAAAAAUAUAACU
RNAcentral lists this long non-coding RNA (825 nucleotides) under Capsella rubella. RNAcentral describes it as "long non-coding RNA (CRUB_LNC002901)". Lineage: Eukaryota; Viridiplantae; Streptophyta; Magnoliopsida; Brassicales; Brassicaceae. The record is from RNAcentral.